RNAcentral lists this ribosomal RNA (253 nucleotides) under uncultured bacterium. Its description in RNAcentral is "partial 16S ribosomal RNA". It matches the Rfam family "Bacterial small subunit ribosomal RNA", at positions 524 to 776 of the family's 1533-position model. The record is from RNAcentral.
UACGUAUGGGGCAAGCGUUAUCCGGAUUUACUGGGUGUAAAGGGAGCGUAGACGGCAGGGCAAGUCUGGAGUGAAAGGCAGGGGCCCAACCCCUGGACUGCUCUGGAAACUGUCCGGCUGGAGUGCAGGAGAGGUAAGUGGAAUUCCUAGUGUAGCGGUGAAAUGCGUAGAUAUUAGGAGGAACACCAGUGGCGAAGGCGGCUUACUGGACUGUAACUGACGUUGAGGCUCGAAAGCGUGGGGAGCAAACAGG